Non-coding RNA from Schistosoma haematobium, 45 nucleotides. The record is from Rfam. Lineage: Eukaryota; Metazoa; Platyhelminthes; Trematoda; Strigeidida; Schistosomatidae.
AUCCAGCUAACGAUUCCCGAACAAGACGAAACGCGCGUCCUGGAU